This 664-nucleotide ribosomal RNA is filed under the name uncultured bacterium. RNAcentral describes it as "bacterial SSU rRNA". It matches the Rfam family "Bacterial small subunit ribosomal RNA", at positions 56 to 719 of the family's 1533-position model. The record is from RNAcentral.
UGCAAGUCGAACGAUGAAGAAAAGGAUUGAAGCUUCGGCAGAAAUUCAUUUCGGAUUAGUGGCAGACGGGUGAGUAACGCGUGAGCAACCUACCUCUUACAAAGGGAUAGCCUCGGGAAACCGGGAUUAAUACCAUAUAACAUUGCGACGAAGCAUUUCGAUGCAAUCAAAGCUACGGCGGUAAGAGAUGGGCUCGCGUCCCAUUAACCAGAUGGUGAGGUAACGGCUCACCAUAGUAACGAUGGGUAACCGGCCUGAGAGGGUGAACGGUCACACUGGAACUGAGACACGGUCCAGACUCCUACGGGAGGCAGCAGUGGGGAAUAUUGCACAAUGGAGGGAACUCUGAUGCAGCGACGCCGCGUGAGUGAUGAAGGAAUUCGUUUCGUAAAACUCUGUUCUAUGGGAAGAAAAGGACUGUACCAUAGGAGAAAGCUCCGGCUAAAUACGUGCCAGCAGCCGCGGUAAUACGUAUGGAGCGAGCGUUGUCCGGAAUUAUUGGGCGUAAAGGGUGCGCAGGCGGCUUUACAAGUUGGAUGUGAAAUAUUGUGGCUCAACCACAAACGUGCAUCCAAAACUGCAAAGCUUGAGUUAAGGAGAGGUAAGUGGAAUUCCUGGUGUAGCGGUGGAAUGCGUAGAUAUCAGGAGGAAUACCGGUGGCGAA